Molecule: long non-coding RNA, 396 nt
Filed under: Solanum tuberosum (potato)
Lineage: Eukaryota; Viridiplantae; Streptophyta; Magnoliopsida; Solanales; Solanaceae
Description: long non-coding RNA (STUB_LNC010676)
Source: RNAcentral
CAGACUUGGGCCAUUCUUUAUUCUUUAUUAUUUAUGUAUUAUAUUUGCUUGCUUAUCAUUAUUUGCAUACUUAUCUGUUUAAUUAGUUUUAAGGUUGUCACAAUUCAAUUUUCUUAAGGAUAGCCAUUCUGAAUUGAUAUUUCAAAAUUCACUCAUUUUCUAGUUGACGUUAAAAGAUAAAUAUGCAAAAUAUUUUACUUAAGUAAUAUUUUUAAUAUUCCUCUUCUCCCCUUAAGUUAGCUUUAAAUUUUUCAAAGUUGUUUAAUUUCUCAACUUAUUUAAAGUAUGCAUGUUUUUUUUAAGAGAUUUAGCCAAAUAUUUUAAUUGCCGGAUAACCGCAUUAGCGGAUAUUCUUGGUGCUUUAAAAACCUUCCUAGAGUAUUAAUGAGAACCCCG